GAUGAAGAACGUAGCGAAAUGCGAUAAGUAAUGUGAAUUGCAGAGUUCAGUGAAUCAUCGAAUCUUUGAACGCACAUUGCGCCCGUUAGUAUUCUGGCGGGCAUGCCUGUCUGAGCGUCAUUUCAACCCUCAUGCCCCUAGGGCGUGGUGUUGGGGAUCGGCCAAAGCCCGCGAGGGACGGCCGGCCCCUAAAUCUAGUGGCGGACCCGUCGUGGCCUCCUCUGCGAAGUAGUGAUAUUCCGCAUCGGAGAGCGAUGAGCCCCUGCCGUUAAACCCCCAACUUUCCAAGGUUGACCUCAGAUCAGGUAGGAAUACCCGCUGAACUUAAGCAUAUCAAUAAGCGGAGGA
This 348-nucleotide unclassified non-coding RNA is filed under the name soil metagenome. RNAcentral's name for it is "partial contains 5.8S ribosomal RNA, internal transcribed spacer 2, and large subunit ribosomal RNA". The stretch from base 1 to 120 matches the Rfam family "5.8S ribosomal RNA", at positions 35 to 154 of the family's 154-position model. The record is from RNAcentral.